UCAGAUUGAACGCUGGCGGCAGGCCUAACACAUGCAAGUCGAACGGUAACAGGAAACAGCUUGCUGNUUCGCUGACGAGUGGCGGACGGGUGAGUAAUGUCUGGGAAACUGCCUGAUGGAGGGGGAUAACUACUGGAAACGGUAGCUAAUACCGCAUAACGUCGCAAGACCAAAGAGGGGGACCUUCGGGCCUCUUGCCAUCGGAUGUGCCCAGAUGGGAUUAGCUAGUAGGUGGGGUAACGGCUCACCUAGGCGACGAUCCCUAGCUGGUCUGAGAGGAUGACCAGCCACACUGGAACUGAGACACGGUCCAGACUCCUACGGGAGGCAGCAGUGGGGAAUAUUGCACAAUGGGNNCAAGCCUGAUGCAGCCAUGCCGCGUGUAUGAAGAAGGCCUUCGGGUUGUAAAGUACUUUCAGCGGGGAGGAAGGGAGUAAAGUUAAUACCUUUGCUCAUUGACGUUACCCGCAGAAGAA
This 476-nucleotide ribosomal RNA is filed under the name Escherichia coli. Its description in RNAcentral is "bacterial SSU rRNA". It matches the Rfam family "Bacterial small subunit ribosomal RNA", at positions 24 to 489 of the family's 1533-position model. The record is from RNAcentral. Lineage: Bacteria; Pseudomonadati; Pseudomonadota; Gammaproteobacteria; Enterobacterales; Enterobacteriaceae.